UAAGGUUGACCUCGGAUCAG
RNAcentral lists this ribosomal RNA (20 nucleotides) under Cladosporium sphaerospermum. Its description in RNAcentral is "partial 28S ribosomal RNA". The record is from RNAcentral. Lineage: Eukaryota; Fungi; Ascomycota; Dothideomycetes; Cladosporiales; Cladosporiaceae.